AGGUGGUUAACAUUCCAGGCUUGUGCUUUUAGAGGGCAUGAUGAAUCCCCGGGAUCCAUUAACCGGGGUAAUUUCCUAGAACUGGUAAAACUUUUGGCUUCUUAUAACAAGGAGGUGAAAGAUGUUGUCUUGGAAAAUGCUCCUGGAAACGCAAAGUACACAUCUCAUCAGGUUCAAGAGGAAAUUCUUGGUAUACUUUCUCGAAAGGUGCAAAGAACAAUUAGAGAAGAAAUUGGUGAUAGCAAAUUUUGUAUAAUGGUUGACGAAGCUUGCGAUGAAUCCAAGAAAGAGCAAAUGGCAUUGGUCCUUCGGUUUCCCGACACUGAAGGGUUCAUACAGGAGCAUUUUGUUGAUGUCAUUCAUGUGAAUGACACUCCUGCAUUGACUCUCAAGGAGACAAUUUGCACUGUUCUAGCAGAUAACAAUUUAAAUGUGGAAGAUAUCAGAGGUCAGGCCUAUGACGGGGCCAGUAAUAUGCGAGGGGAGUGGAACAGAUUGAAAGCUUUAAUUCUGAAGGCGUGCCCUUAUGCAUAUUACAUUCAUUGUAUGGCGCAUCAGCUUCAAUUGGCCCUUGUUGCAGCAUCACGAGAGGUACAUGAAGUGCAUAAUUUUUUUCAACAUGCCAAUUUUGUCAUAAAUGUUGUUAGUGCUUCACCUAAACGCAAUGAUGAGUUACUAGCAAAUCAAGCCGCCGAGAUUGCACGUGAAAUUGAACUAGGGGAUCUUGAUACGGGAAAAGGGGCAAACCAGAUAGGAUCUUUAUAG
RNAcentral lists this ribosomal RNA (765 nucleotides) under Triticum aestivum (bread wheat). Its description in RNAcentral is "partial small subunit ribosomal RNA". The record is from RNAcentral. Lineage: Eukaryota; Viridiplantae; Streptophyta; Magnoliopsida; Poales; Poaceae.